CCUCAUCCCAGCCUUUCAGUAACUUAAUCAUCAAAAAUAAAUAUCAGAAGGGCUACUCUCGUAUUUCAAUCAGAUGCUUAUAUCCAACACCGCUAGAUGUCAGCAGUGCACUGCUGUAAAGGUCGCUAGGUCCAAUCUGUAAAUAAAGUAUAAAAAUGAAUGGUUCUGGAACAAUUUUUAUCAUCUAUUUUCCAUUAGCAAUAUUAUCGUACCCAGAUGUCACCUAAUGAAAGCAGAAUUACCGGUCAUUCAGGUUUGUCCUUUGUGCAUUCCAUGAUGUUAGUGACUGCAUUUUGAAUACUUGUGUUUUUCCCUCAGAGCUGGACAAAAUGCAAGUGCCCUUUUUUCUGCUCACUAAUUCCAAGUAGCAGUCAUCAACAGGCACGUUACAGGGAGUAAAGCGAUGCUUUUGGACGGGUGAUCGUAACAAGGAUGAUGAAGCAGCCUUCACUUGGAGGUAGGCUGUAUUUGUGUACUGGAAGCAGCAAUUGGGAAGAAGUCCCGGCGUGGAUCCUGAGCUAAGGAAACUGUAGCCUCACUGAACGUGCUGCACAUCUGUUCCGUGGCAAGGAGAGCCGAGUGCCUACAGCUUGCAGUGCAGAUUCUGCAGCAAAUCUUCCGUCUGCCAACCCGGACUCUAUGCUUCAGCAGCAGUCACAGGAGUAACAGAUGUAUGGACCCUGAAGCCAUUGAGCUUGCACCAUCUACACUGCUUGAUGCUUAA
This 724-nucleotide long non-coding RNA is filed under the name Pavo cristatus (Indian peafowl). Its description in RNAcentral is "lncRNA (ENSPSTG00000000470.1)". Lineage: Eukaryota; Metazoa; Chordata; Aves; Galliformes; Phasianidae. The record is from RNAcentral.